GAUUCAAGUUCACUGCUACUUUUGCUCAUCAGUUUCUUCUCAUGUUCGUCUACGUUAUUACCAAAGACCAUGCCCAAUUCGUCUUGAUGUUUCUCUAAUUUUCCUUUGACUCCAGUGACUACAUGCAAAAACCCUAUUGAAGGGUAUAAAUCUGCUAUAUUAAAACCUCCUGCCAAUGCCGUUGCUUCCCUGGUCAGUGCUAUGACUGCGUCGUAGUCUUUGCAUUCGUCUCCAAUUGCGGCUUUGCACGUAAUCACACUAGUCAGCUGGAAUAUUUUUUU
RNAcentral lists this unclassified non-coding RNA (281 nucleotides) under Hevea brasiliensis (rubber tree). The record is from RNAcentral. Lineage: Eukaryota; Viridiplantae; Streptophyta; Magnoliopsida; Malpighiales; Euphorbiaceae.